RNAcentral lists this ribosomal RNA (542 nucleotides) under Nemertean sp. 7 MLS-2006. RNAcentral's name for it is "partial 16S ribosomal RNA". It matches the Rfam family "Bacterial large subunit ribosomal RNA", at positions 1796 to 2608 of the family's 2925-position model. The record is from RNAcentral. Lineage: Eukaryota; Metazoa; Nemertea.
UCGCCUGUUUAUCCAAAAACAUAGUCUAUUGUUUUUUAUAAUAGAUUUUUUCUGCCCGGUGAUUGGUUAAACGGCCGCGGUAUUCUGACCGUGCAAAGGUAGCAUAAUCAUUUGUUCUUUAAUUGGGGACUUGUAUGAAGGAAAGUUUGAGGCUCUGUCUGUCUCUUUUUUAGGUUAGAAUUUGCUGUUUAUGUGAAGAAGCAUAAUUGAAUGAAAAAGACAAGAAGACCCUUUUAAGUUUUAUUUUUUGUUUUGGUGUUUUGUUCUUUGAGGAAGAAUGGUGAUAUGGUUGGCAAAAUUUAGUUGGGGUGACUAAAGAAGAGUUAGUAUCUUCUUUGUUUUUGAAGACUGUAAGUUAAAAAAAGACCCAAUAUUUGUUGGUUAAAAGAAUUAAUUACUAAAGGGAUAACAGCGUAAUCUUUUCAGAGAGUUCUUAUUGAAGAAAAGGAUUGCGACCUCGAUGUUGACUUGCUUUUUCCUUUUGAAGGUGCAGGAGCUAAAAGGGUUGGUCUGUUCGACCAUUAAAAUAGUACGUGAUCUGA